Molecule: non-coding RNA, 65 nt
Organism: Myotis davidii
Lineage: Eukaryota; Metazoa; Chordata; Mammalia; Chiroptera; Vespertilionidae
Source: Rfam
GACGCUUCAUGAUGGGAUGGACUGAAAUGUCUCCAGACGCCGGUCUUUUCCUGAUGUUCUGCGGC